This 1203-nucleotide ribosomal RNA is filed under the name metagenome. RNAcentral's name for it is "bacterial SSU rRNA". It matches the Rfam family "Bacterial small subunit ribosomal RNA", at positions 291 to 1520 of the family's 1533-position model. The record is from RNAcentral.
ACUGAGAGGUUGAACGGCCACAUUGGGACUGAGACACGGCCCAGACUCCUACGGGAGGCAGCAGUGGGGAAUAUUGCACAAUGGGGGAAACCCUGAUGCAGCGACGCCGCGUGGAGGAAGAAGGUCUUCGGAUUGUAAACUCCUGUUGUUGAGGAAGAUAAUGACGGUACUCAACAAGGAAGUGACGGCUAACUACGUGCCAGCAGCCGCGGUAAAACGUAGGUCACAAGCGUUGUCCGGAAUUACUGGGUGUAAAGGGAGCGCAGGCGGGCGAUCAAGUUGGAAGUGAAAUCCAUGGGCUCAACCCAUGAACUGCUUUCAAAACUGAUUGUCUUGAGUAGUGCAGUGGUAGGCGGAAUUCCCGGUGUAGCGGUGGAAUGCGUAGAUAUCGGGAGGAACACCAGUGGCGAAGGCGGCCUACUGGGCACCAACUGACGCUGAGGCUCGAAAGUGUGGGUAGCAAACAGGAUUAGAUACCCUGGUAGUCCACACCGUAAACGAUGAUUACUAGGUGUUGGAGGAUUGACCCCUUCAGUGCCGCAGUUAACACAAUAAGUAAUCCACCUGGGGAGUACGACCGCAAGGUUGAAACUCAAAGGAAUUGACGGGGGCCCGCACAAGCAGUGGAGUAUGUGGUUUAAUUCGACGCAACGCGAAGAACCUUACCAAGUCUUGACAUCCUGCGACGAUGCUAGAAAUAGUAUUUUCCUUCGGGACGCAGAGACAGGUGGUGCAUGGUUGUCGUCAGCUCGUGUCGUGAGAUGUUGGGUUAAGUCCCGCAACGAGCGCAACCCUUAUGGUCAGUUACUACGCAAGAGGACUCUGGCCAGACUGCCGUUGACAAAACGGAGGAAGGUGGGGAUGACGUCAAAUCAUCAUGCCCUUUAUGACUUGGGCUACACACGUACUACAAUGGCGUUAAACAAAGAGAAGCAAGACCGCGAGGUGGAGCAAAACUCAGAAACAACGUCCCAGUUCGGACUGCAGGCUGCAACUCGCCUGCACGAAGUCGGAAUUGCUAGUAAUCGUGGAUCAGCAUGCCACGGUGAAUACGUUCCCGGGCCUUGUACACACCGCCCGUCACACCAUGAGAGCCGGGGGGACCCGAAGUCGGUAGUCUAACCGCAAGGAGGACGCCGCCGAAGGUAAAACUGGUGAUUGGGGUGAAGUCGAACAAGGUAGCCGUAGGAGAACCUGCGGCUG